Schistosoma mansoni is the source of this 45-nucleotide non-coding RNA. The record is from Rfam. Lineage: Eukaryota; Metazoa; Platyhelminthes; Trematoda; Strigeidida; Schistosomatidae.
AUCCAGCUGACGAGUCCCAAGUAGGACGAAACGCGCGUCCUGGAU